Molecule: ribosomal RNA, 279 nt
Filed under: uncultured Staphylococcus sp.
Lineage: Bacteria; Bacillati; Bacillota; Bacilli; Caryophanales; Staphylococcaceae
Description: partial 16S ribosomal RNA
Rfam family: Bacterial small subunit ribosomal RNA
Source: RNAcentral
CCUUUGACGUUAGCGGCGGACGGGUGAGUAACACGUGGGUAACCUACCUAUAAGACUGGGAUAACUUCGGGAAACCGGAGCUAAUACCGGAUAAUAUUUCGAACCGCGUGGUUCGAUAGUGAAAGAUGGUUUUGCUAUCACUUAUAGAUGGACCCGCGCCGUAUUAGCUAGUUGGUAAGGUAACGGCUUACCAAGGCGACGAUACGUAGCCGACCUGAGAGGGUGAUCGGCCACACUGGAACUGAGACACGGUCCAGACUCCUACGGGAGGCAGCAGAG